AAUUUCCUUAUGUUGGGGCCCCAACUUGCUUUGUCUGUAGAAUUUCUCGUUGAAUUUCCUUAUGUUGGGGCCCCAACCCCAACUUGCUUUGUCUGUAGAAUUUCUCGUUGAAUUUCCUUAUGUUGGGGCCCCAACCCCAACUUGCUUUGUCUGUAGAAUUUCUCGUUGA
RNAcentral lists this non-coding RNA (169 nucleotides) under Staphylococcus epidermidis RP62A. RNAcentral describes it as "Staphylococcus sRNA 35 (srn_0335)". It matches the Rfam family "Staphylococcus sRNA 35 (srn_0335)". Rfam says of the family: Other name: Srn_0335, SAOUHSCs258. Northern blot transcript confirmed in exponentially growing and stationary cells in three cultivation media. The record is from Rfam by way of RNAcentral. Lineage: Bacteria; Bacillati; Bacillota; Bacilli; Caryophanales; Staphylococcaceae.